UAAUCUGCCCUGCACUCUGGGAUAAGCCUGGGAAACUGGGUCUAAUACCGGAUAGGACCAUGCUUUAGUGUGUGUGGUGGAAAGUUUUUCGGUGUAGGAUGAGCCCGCGGCCUAUCAGCUUGUUGGUGGGGUAAUGGCCUACCAAGGCGGCGACGGGUAGCCGGCUGAGAGGUUGGUCGGCCACAUUGGGACUGAGAUACGGCCCAG
This 207-nucleotide ribosomal RNA is filed under the name uncultured Actinomycetales bacterium. Its description in RNAcentral is "partial 16S ribosomal RNA". It matches the Rfam family "Bacterial small subunit ribosomal RNA", at positions 122 to 334 of the family's 1533-position model. The record is from RNAcentral. Lineage: Bacteria; Bacillati; Actinomycetota; Actinomycetes; Actinomycetales.